This 466-nucleotide ribosomal RNA is filed under the name uncultured bacterium. RNAcentral's name for it is "partial 16S ribosomal RNA". It matches the Rfam family "Bacterial small subunit ribosomal RNA", at positions 28 to 507 of the family's 1533-position model. The record is from RNAcentral.
GAUGAACGCUGGCGGCGUGCUUAACACAUGCAAGUCGAACGGUGAAGCCAAGCUUGCUUGGUGGAUCAGUGGCGAACGGGUGAGUAACACGUGAGCAACCUGCCCUGUACUCUUGGAUAAGCGCUGGAAACGGCGUCUAAUACUGGAUAUGAGCCUCUUCCGCAUGGUGGGGGUUGGAAAGAUUUUUUGGUCUGGGAUGGGCUCGCGGCCUAUCAGCUUGUUGGUGGGGUAAUGGCUCACCAAGGCGUCGACGGGUAGCCGGCCUGAGAGGGUGACCGGCCACACUGGGACUGAGACACGGCCCAGACUCCUACGGGAGGCAGCAGUGGGGAAUAUUGCACAAUGGGCGAAAGCCUGAUGCAGCAACGCCGCGUGAGGGAUGACGGCCUUCGGGUUGUAAACCUCUUUUAGCAGGGAAGAAGCGAAAGUGACGGUACCUGCAGAAAAAGCGCCGGCUAACUACGUG